GGUAGCUCAGUUGGUUAGAGCAUCUGACUGUUAAUCAGAAUGUCGUAAGUUCGAGUCUUACCUGAGGA
RNAcentral lists this transfer RNA (68 nucleotides) under Longimicrobiales bacterium. RNAcentral describes it as "tRNA-Asn". The stretch from base 2 to 62 matches the Rfam family "tRNA", at positions 7 to 64 of the family's 71-position model. Rfam says of the family: Transfer RNA (tRNA) molecules are approximately 80 nucleotides in length. Their secondary structure includes four short double-helical elements and three loops (D, anti-codon, and T loops). The record is from RNAcentral. Lineage: Bacteria; Pseudomonadati; Gemmatimonadota; Longimicrobiia; Longimicrobiales.